RNAcentral lists this ribosomal RNA (977 nucleotides) under uncultured Aneurinibacillus sp. RNAcentral describes it as "bacterial SSU rRNA". It matches the Rfam family "Bacterial small subunit ribosomal RNA", at positions 41 to 996 of the family's 1533-position model. Lineage: Bacteria; Bacillati; Bacillota; Bacilli; Caryophanales; Paenibacillaceae. The record is from RNAcentral.
GGCAGGCCUAACACAUGCAAGUCGAACGGCAGCGGGUAGGAAGCUUGCUUCCUAUGCCGGCGAGUGGCGGACGGGUGAGGAACACAUCGGAAUCUACUCCGUCGUGGGGGAUAACGUAGGGAAACUUACGCUAAUACCGCAUACGACCUAAGGGUGAAAGUGGGGGACCGCAAGGCCUCACGCGAUGGAAUGAGCCGAUGUCCGAUUAGCUAGUUGGCGGGGUAAAGGCCCACCAAGGCGACGAUCGGUAGCUGGUCUGAGAGGAUGAUCAGCCACACUGGGACUGAGACACGGCCCAGACUCCUACGGGAGGCAGCAGUGGGGAAUAUUGGACAAUGGGCGAAAGCCUGAUCCAGCCAUGCCGCGUGGGUGAAGAAGGCCUUCGGGUUGUAAAGCCCUUUUGUUGGGGAAGAAAUCCUGCUGGCUAAUACCCGGCGGGGAUGACGGUACCCAAAGAAUAAGCACCGGCUAACUUCGUGCCAGCAGCCGCGGUAAUACGAAGGGUGCAAGCGUUACUCGGAAUUACUGGGCGUAAAGCGUGCGUAGGUGGUGGCUUAAGUCCGUUGUGAAAGCCCUGGGCUCAACCUGGGAAUUGCAGUGGAUACUGGGUCACUAGAGUGUGGUAGAGGGUGGCGGAAUUCCCGGUGUAGCAGUGAAAUGCGUAGAGAUCGGGAGGAACACCCGUGGCGAAGGCGGCCACCUGGGGCCAACACUGACACUGAGGCACGAAAGCGUGGGGAGCAAACAGGAUUAGAUACCCUGGUAGUCCACGCCCUAAACGAUGCGAACUGGGAUGUUGGGUUCAAUUUGGGACUCAGUAUCGAAGCUAACGCGUUAAGUUCGCCGCCUGGGGGAGUACGGUCGCAAGAACUGAAACUCAAAGGAAUUGACGGGGGGCCCGCACAGGCGGUUGGAGUAUUGGUGGUUAAUUCGAUGCAACGCGAAGAACCUUUACUGGUUCUUGACCAUCCGCGGAA